Molecule: ribosomal RNA, 459 nt
Filed under: uncultured bacterium
Lineage: Bacteria
Description: partial 16S ribosomal RNA
Rfam family: Bacterial small subunit ribosomal RNA
Source: RNAcentral
CUACGGGCGGCAGCAGUGAGGAAUAUUGGUCAAUGGGCGAGAGCCUGAACCAGCCAAGUCGCGUGAAGGAAGAAGGAUCUAUGGUUCGUAAACUUCUUUUGCAGGGGAAUAAAGUGCAGGACGUGUCCUGUUUUGUAUGUACCCUGAGAAUAAGGAUCGGCUAACUCCGUGCCAGCAGCCGCGGUAAUACGGAGGAUCCGAGCGUUAUCCGGAUUUAUUGGGUUUAAAGGGUGCGUAGGUGGUUUAAUAAGUCAGCGGUGAAAGUUUGCAGCUUAACUGUAAAAAUGCCGUUGAAACUGUUAGACUUGAGUGUAAAUGAGGUAGGCGGAAUGCGUGGUGUAGCGGUGAAAUGCUUAGAUAUCACGCAGAACUCCGAUUGCGAAGGCAGCUUACCAAGCUACAACUGACACUGAAGCACGAAAGCGUGGGGAUCAAACAGGAUUAGAUACCCCGGUAGUC